CCGAGCAAUCGUCGCUCAAAUGGACGAAUACCAACUUUUUAUGGAGAGUUCCUUGGUGAAACUGGUAGGAAACCUGGCAAAACUUGAUAGAUUUCACUAAUAAAAAAUCAAGACGGCGACGGAUGUGGCGAGUCAAUUUUUAAUCCAGAAUAUCAUUGGAAAAUAUUAGAUUUCUUUGAGGGUGCAAUAAACUCACAAGACCUAUCUAACUUGAACUGGGAAUUAUUAGUUUUGAGAAUUCACAACAUAUACCAAGAUUUUGGUCAAAUUAUUACGGGAUUGUCUCCAAAUAUGCCAAAUGACACUUCAAGUGUCCCGCUGGAUAAAUUGAUUAUUGAAUUAAAAAAGAUUCUGUUGUUGAUUAUUGGAAUUCUUGUCAAAGGAAGAAAUGGAGAAACUAUAAUCGAAAACAUCCAAUCGAUGAAAAUUGAGACACAAGUAGACUUAAUGCACGAAUUGAAACAAGUAAAACCAAUCAAACAUAAUCAAUAAGAUUACUGAAAAUUCUACAAACAUAUUGUGUGUUGAAAAUGUGAAGAAUGGAAACGAUUUUUAUUUGAGCG
Octopus sinensis (East Asian common octopus) is the source of this 563-nucleotide long non-coding RNA. RefSeq lists it as uncharacterized. The record is from RefSeq and is a predicted model, not a curated record. The transcript has 4 exons. Lineage: Eukaryota; Metazoa; Mollusca; Cephalopoda; Octopoda; Octopodidae.